Molecule: long non-coding RNA, 741 nt
Organism: Salvia miltiorrhiza (redroot sage)
Lineage: Eukaryota; Viridiplantae; Streptophyta; Magnoliopsida; Lamiales; Lamiaceae
Exons: 2
Source: RefSeq, a predicted model, not a curated record
UCCAUGGAGAAUCCCUUAAGUGUAGAGAAUAAAGAAUUAAUCUACACCAUUAAAUCCCCUCAAUCAGACGGUUUAAACAAAAUAAAUAUCUAAAUCUUAAAUGUAUUUAUCAAAAUCCGAAAUUACAUUUUAUUUCCAAUUAAGGGUAUUCAAGUAAAUUGGCAAUAGUUGAAAAAUGGUAUACCUAAAAAAACUCCUCAUUCACCCACUUUCAUUCCCCCAUUGCCGACUCUUUCUCUCUCUCUAAUCUAUCAUUCUAUUUCUUCUUCGGUGGACGGCGAGAACUUGACGCCUGAGUCGUAGAAGAGGACCAGGGCCACAGUCGGCGCGGAGGGAGGCGUCUUCGGCCUUGCAGGUGAAGGAGGUCGGGGUCUGCUCGCACAUCUCAAAAAAUCAGACGCAGCCAUGGCGCAACACCAGCUUGUUGGCGGCGUGGAUCUGAGCAGGAAGCCGACACCAAGAUCUGCUACAGUAAUUAGUUGAUUCUAUGGAAAUCGUUCGUAGAUUUGUGCAUGGUUUGCCAUUUUCUUAGUUUGAAUUUCUCCUUCUAUUUGUUUCUAAUUUCGUUGGUUCUAGUAUUUGUCUUUCAAUGUUCAAGGAUUUAUCAUUUAUCUGUAAUUCAUUUGUUUGCAGAGGAUCUUCAUUCUGCAUUUUCUGUUAUUGUGUAUUCAUAUGGAAUUUGCUCCUACCGAAGAGGGGAUGAAUUGUGUUAUGUUAAUAUGAAGUAUUGGAUUUGUAUAA